Molecule: ribosomal RNA, 254 nt
Filed under: uncultured bacterium
Lineage: Bacteria
Description: partial 16S ribosomal RNA
Rfam family: Bacterial small subunit ribosomal RNA
Source: RNAcentral
GACGAACCGUGCGAACGUUAUUCGGAAUCACUGGGCUUAAAGCGCGUGUAGGCGGGUCAGCAAGUCGGUUGCUGAAAUCCCCCGGCUCAACCGGGGAACGGGCACCGAUACGACUGGCCUGGAGGGGAGUAGGGGGACCUGGAACUUCCGGUGGAGCGGUGAAAUGCGUUGAGAUCGGAAGGAACGCCCGUGGCGAAAGCGAGGUCCUGGGCUCCUGCUGACGCUGAGACGCGAAAGCCAGGGGAGCGAACGGG